RNAcentral lists this ribosomal RNA (253 nucleotides) under uncultured bacterium. Its description in RNAcentral is "partial 16S ribosomal RNA". It matches the Rfam family "Bacterial small subunit ribosomal RNA", at positions 524 to 776 of the family's 1533-position model. The record is from RNAcentral.
UACAGAGGGGGCAAGCGUUGUCCGGACUGACUGGGCCUAAAGCGCGCGCAGGCGGUCGCGGGCGUCGGUGCUGAAAGGGCGCCGCUUAACGGCGCGAAGGGUGCCGAUACGCCGCGACUGGAGCGAUGGCGAGGGUGGUGGAAUUGCCGGUGUAGUGGUGAAAUGCGUAGAGAUCGGCAGGAACACCCGUGGCGCAAGCGGCCACCUAGCCGUCGGCUGACGCUGAGGCGCGACAGCGUGGGGAGCGAACCGG